Molecule: long non-coding RNA, 1346 nt
Filed under: Marmota monax (woodchuck)
Lineage: Eukaryota; Metazoa; Chordata; Mammalia; Rodentia; Sciuridae
Source: RNAcentral
GUCCUCUCUGAGGUAAGUAAAGUUCAUUUUGGUUUCAGAUGUUAGGCCUUUGCAAGUAGCCUAAUGAAGGUGGGACUCGAAGGUAUGAAUGUCUCUUUCAUACACUUACACAGUGAUUUCCUGACACUCCUAAGUAGCUUCUAUUGUUUCAUUUUCUCUAUGGCUUCUGUCCCACAUGAAGUCAGCCUUAUUAACCUUUCUGCUCAACAAUGAAUGUGACUUUUUCAUCUCUGGCAAAGGGGACAGUAACCACCCAUUAGACAGUCCUGUUAGAGUACACAUCAGACAAAGAGAGAAAUGGACCUUUUUUUGGGGGGGGGGCGGCGCGGGGAACUACCCAGAUAGCUGUUUUUUAAAUUCCUGCAAAAAAUUUUCAAAGAAACUAAAACAAAACAAAAGACAAUCAAAAAACUCCCAAACAAACAAAUUUUUAAAACUUAACAGUUUUUAUACUCCCUACCAAAAUAGAUGCUCUGUGUACUCCCUGGAAACCAGUGGCAUUUCCUGACUGGCCACUACAGUGAGCAUUCCGUCAGAGGCAUGGCCUCUAAAUAUUGUCCCUGGCAGAGAGGCUCCAGGCUGAGCCCAGCCAUCCUGCCCAAUGGCCCAGAAGAUGCUCAGGAGGCCCCAGAAUUGGGAGGAAUGCCACAGAGCAGGCUGGAGAAAUUUUGGAUGCUGGACCAUUGGGCAAAGUUAGUUGUCUGGAAAUAGGGGAGAGGACAAAGUCGGGAGGGUGACUAUGGUUGUCUGGAAAAAUACAGAAUGAGUAGAAUGCAAAUUACCAGAGAAGGUCCCUUCCAGGAUUGGUCUGUAGAUACAGAGAAGUACAGUGAGAAGAUGACCCCUUGAGAAGACCUAUGUUUAAGUCCUGGCUCUGCCUGGGGGCUUGGGGAUUCAUAGGAAUAUAUUUUUUAAAAAAUAAUAUUCUGUUGGCUUCUUCCCAGGGAGACUGCAUAUUGUCGUGCCAAGGGCAUGGUUUUGAAAUCAUGUAGACAAUGGGUUUGAAUGGGGGUCCUUGUCAUUUACUAGAAUGUCAGACCUUUUUUUUUUUUUUUUAGUGAAGAAUCUUCAGUGGGAUGCAUAGCCACCAAGCCGAGAGUACAUUUUCCAGCCUGUGUCAUAGCCAGAGACGACCAUAUGACUAAGUAUGGCUGGAACAAGAGUGAGUUUUCAAUUCCUCAUUUGCUCGGAUAGUGAAGGAGGUGUCCUGCCCUUCCCACUGCAUCAUUUUCCUACUGUCUAGAAAGCAUACUUGGUAGAGAAAUCAUCUUGAACCAUACAAGUGCCCCAAGUGACUAUCAAAGCAAAAACAUUUCAUCUCUGAAGCAAUGCAAUUUCAAUCCUGG